RNAcentral lists this ribosomal RNA (306 nucleotides) under Phelsuma parva. Its description in RNAcentral is "partial large subunit ribosomal RNA". It matches the Rfam family "Bacterial large subunit ribosomal RNA", at positions 2006 to 2508 of the family's 2925-position model. Lineage: Eukaryota; Metazoa; Chordata; Lepidosauria; Squamata; Gekkonidae. The record is from RNAcentral.
GAGGGCAUAACUGUCUCCUGUGGCCAAUCAAUGAAUUUGAGCUCACAGUACAAACGCUGUAAUAGAACUAUAAGACGAGAAGACCCUGUGGAGCUUUAAAUACACCACAUUAACUAAUUUAUUAUUAGCAUAAUGUAAAUUUUAAGUUGGGGCGACUAUGGAGUAAAAUUUAACCUCCAUGUAACACGACUAAACUCGUUAUUUAAGGCUUACAAGCCUAACCAAACAAAUGACCCAGUCAAACUGACUAACGAACCAAGUUACCCCAGGGAUAACAGCGCCAUCCCCUUAAAGAGUCCACAUCAC